Molecule: ribosomal RNA, 526 nt
Filed under: uncultured eukaryote
Lineage: Eukaryota
Description: SSU rRNA
Rfam family: Eukaryotic small subunit ribosomal RNA
Source: RNAcentral
UAUACAGCGAAACUGCGAAUGGCUCAUUAUAUAAGUUAUCGUUUAUUUGAUAGUGCCUUACUACUUGGAUAACCAUGGUAAUUCUAGAGCUAAUACAUGCUAAAAACCCCGACUUCGGAAGGGGUGUAUUUAUUAGAUACAAAACCAAUGCCCUUCGGGGCUCUUUGGUGAUUGAUGAUAACUAUACGAAUCGCACGGCCUUGCGCCGGCGAUGGUUCAUUCAAAUUUCUUCCCUAUCAACUUUCGAUGUUUGGGUAUUGGCCAAACAUGGUUGCAACGGGUAACGGAGGGUUAGGGCUCGACCCCGGAGAAGGAGCCUGAGAAACGGCUACUACAUCCAAGGAAGGCAGCAGGCGCGCAAAUUACCCAAUCCCGACUCGGGGAGGUAGUGACAAUAAAUACUGAUACAGGGCCCUUUCGGGCCUUGUAAUUGGAAUGAGUACAAUUUAAAUCCCUUAACGAGGAACAAUUGGAGGGCAAGUCUGGUGCCAGCAGCCGCGGUAAUUCCAGCUCCAAUAGCGUAUAU